CGAGGGAGCCCCGGCACAGGAGUAAGCGUCGUCUCUCUAGGAACGCUUGGGGGCCCGGCGGCAGCUCAGAACUCCGGGUGUCCCGAGGCCUCGCUGACGCCGCAGGGGGUGCCCCUGCUUUUUUCCGCUUGUUGGCCAUUGCUACUGCGACCUGCUUUUUCUACUGAGAUGAAGUGCCUGUUUAUUUAAAGUGAAGCAGAAGCCUGAGAACCGCGUUUGGGGACCCACCACGGAAAAGCAUUGUAUGAAAUAAUGACAUUCUCUGACUUCCCUCCUUUGGCUGCUCUGCUCUGAUCUCGGCAAGCCUUGCAUCCACAGAGCCACUGAAUGGCAAGCAAUGAUUCUAGCCCAACGUUUGUAAACUUGAGGUUCACAGGCUGUAUGUGGCCAACAGGAUGAUGGUAAUAUUUCCUGUUGGAGACAUUUAUAAAGCAGGAGACACAUGAUCUUAUUUGGAGCAGGUGGGAGAGAGUUCAGAUGACAUCCCUUCCCUAUUCGUCCUCCCAAGCAUAGUCUGUUCACAGGAAACAUCCUGACCAGGCCCACCUGUGAAUGACUGCAGGAAGGAAGAAAUUAACAUAUCCCCUCUGGAAGCUGACCAGAAGCAGGAAAUGUUUGACUUUACUCCCUCCCCUUUCAGUGUAAAAGAAGCCUGAUUCUAAUUAUGGCAAGAUGGUUCUUUGGGACAUGAGUCUACCAUCUUCUCAGUCUGCCGGUUUUCCAAGUAAUGUUGCUGUUCUUUGCCCCAACAUCUCGUCUCUCAAUUGAUUGGUCUGUCAUGUGGUGAGCAGUAUGAGCUUGGACUCGGUAAGAGUCGGGCAAGUCAAUCUUUUGAUAUCAUUUAGGCAGCACCCCAGUUCUUUGGGAAAUUGAAAGCAACUGUCAUUUGUCUUGCAAGUAUUUGCAAGAUCAGAAAUAUAAACACAGCCCAAAAUGGCCUGAGACUGAGCCUAGUUAACUCAAUCAGGUAGAACCUGAAACCUAAAGGGAGAAUAAAAAGAGGGAAAGAAGCCUUUUUAAAAGUAAAAACUGCUGGCACCCAGAGAUAUUGUAAUUAUUCCAUUUAUAUGAAAUAUCCAGAAUAGGCAUAUCCAUAGAAAGCUCAUUAGCGGUUGCCAGGGACUGAGUGGGAAAUGGAAAGCGAUUGCUAAUGGAUACAGGGUUUCUUCUUGGGGUGAUAGAACUAGUGGUGAUGAUUGUACACCUCUGUGAAAAAACCACUGAAAUGUACACUUUAAAAGGGUGAAUUUUAUGGCAUGUGAGUUAUAUCUCAAUAAAAAUUACAGCACUCAUCAGAAAAAAAUGUUGUAUAUAUAUAUAUAUUUACAAUGGAAUACUACUCAGCUAUAAAAAGAUGAGAUCUUGCCAUUUGCUAUGACAUGGAUAGACUUUGAGGAUAUUAGGCUAAGUGAAAUAAAUCAGAGAACGACAAAUUCCGUAUGAUUUCACUCAUGUGGAAUAUUUAAAAAGUAAAAUAAAACCAAACCAAACAAAAACAAACUCAUAGAUAACGAGGCCAAAGUACUGGUUACCAGAGGGAGAGUGAAAUGGGUAAAGGGGACCAACUGUAUGCUGAUGGGUGGAAACAAAACUUUUGGUGGUAGGUGCACUGUAAGUGUAUACAAAAGUUGAAACAUAAUGUUGUACACAUAGAACUUCUAUUAUGUUAUAAACCAAUGUUACUUCAAUUUUAAAAAAUCUUUCUGAGGUCUUUAAAAAAAGAAAUUAUGUUUUAUGAUAUGUCUAUUUAAUAGUUUCUCCAAAUCUUUUUGGUAAUUUAAAACUUUAGAGUUUUUUCUAAAGUAAGCUAAAUGAUGGAAGUUUAUUGAAUAUCCAGAUCAUUUCCAAAUAAGAUAAAAUAAUGAAACAUUAAUUGUUGAGCAUGUCUAAGUUUAACUACUUUCAUCUUCUUAUAAGAUUAAGAAGCCAAAGAUGUUUGGGUUUAUCCCAUACAUCUUGUACCACAUUAAGGAGAGAAAUUAUGCUAUGAGAAAAUCUGUGUUUCUAGAGGUUGUGGAGCAUGUUCAUAAGUUUUCCAGUCAGGAAAUGCUAGUAUGACAGCUCACAAUUGCUUGCUUCUUAGUUUUCUCUAGAGAUUAGGGGUUUUAAGAAUACAAUUAAUACAUAUAAUUGGGACUACUAAAAUUAAUAAGGAAAGCAUCUUCAUAUGCAACGGAAAAAAGAGUUUAAGAAUUGUAAAUCCUUUUUGUUAAGGGAAAAGAAAGUAAUUUUGUCCUAAGAGAGGUUAAAAAAUAGAGAAAAGGGGAAAGCAUGGGACAAAAUUUGAAGGUGAAAAAGGAAGUUACAGGUUUGUGGAAAAGAAUCCCUGAGAAAAGAGUUUUGUAUGUGAUCAGGACUGGCUAACACUGGAAUAAAUUUAAGUGAGUGAAUAAGUUUUAAUAUUAAAAGUAAGCUGGUCCAAAAGUAGAGUCUGGUUUUCUCUCAGUUAAUAGGACAAAGUUUUCUUGGAAUAUUGAUCUGCUUUUGAUAAUAGCUUCUAAAGUUUCUUUACCUUCUAAGUUCCCUGUCAUAACUUUCUGUAGUUUACCUUUGAAAUAUUUUAGUGUCGCUUUGGUUAAAUAAUUAACUGAGUAUUGUUUCACAGUGACUGUGAUUCUGUUUGACCAAGUUUUUCCAAGUGUUUUAAAACCUUUUGAUAUCUUUGACUAACCCCCCAAAUCAAUUCUAAAUGAAGUCUCCUUUUGACCUCUAGCUAACUUUGGGGUGUUUCAGAGGUUUCCUGAAACAUCUCAAAGAGAGGUAUUAAACCAAUGAUGCUUAUUUGGGUAUGUUGAAUUAUGUCGGAAGCAUUGUCAAAUGAGUGAUGAUAAACUUUCUUAGAUUAUAUUGUAUGGGCAAAUAUUAUUAAUGUAAAUGUUCUAGAAGUUAUUUAAAAUUCCUAAAAUUCAGAUAUGUGCUGGUAUGUUGUCAGUCAUAAUUCUGGUUAUUAUCUUAAAAUUUUGUAUGCCACAGAAAUAUCAAAAUUUCCUUUUCAA
Balaenoptera acutorostrata (minke whale) is the source of this 2996-nucleotide long non-coding RNA. RefSeq lists it as uncharacterized. The record is from RefSeq and is a predicted model, not a curated record. The transcript is spliced from 4 exons. NCBI's taxonomy places the organism in Eukaryota, Metazoa, Chordata, Mammalia, Artiodactyla, Balaenopteridae.